Non-coding RNA from Lutzomyia longipalpis, 47 nucleotides. Lineage: Eukaryota; Metazoa; Arthropoda; Insecta; Diptera; Psychodidae. The record is from Rfam.
AAAAUGGCUCUUUUCAGAGCCCACGAAAUUAAUUUUUUAAAGAGUUG